GCACAUAGUGUGCAUAACUUUAAAGAAAAAGUAGAUAAAUGGAGAUAUGGAGACAGGACGUUAUGAGCCCUGCUCGAACCCUGUACAAUACAACUAGGUAAAUACACACACACACACAACAUGACUUUACACAACCCCCACCUUGAAAAAAAGUCUUUCUACGGUAAAACAAUUUUAUGCCCCCUUCCACUCAAACAGUCUCAUGACAAUAAAGUGAUCUGAUGGCCCCUUUCACCUCAAUCAAGUCUUGCAACCUUAGAAUAAUCCAAUACCUAUCAUUGCCUUAUCAUCCCCCCCGGAAAAAGUCUGCUUUUUGGCAUAAGCGCUGAGGCAUGUUCUUCAGACGGGAUCAGAGGUGCCAGUAAUGGGAAGGACUUAUGACCAGUGGCAGGCAUCUGUGACCGUCAGUGUAGGUGCCAGGAAAGAGGUCACAAACCCAGAAUUACACCAGUCCCCACUCACUGCUGGCUGGGCAGGGGCAGGAUGUAGGAAAAAUUUUCCACUCCGCCCUGGGAUUUUUCAGUUGUGCCAGGAGACAAGAGACUCUGGAUUGUGGGAAAGGCAAACACACAGUGCUCUACCAGCCCUGACAUGCCUGCUUGUGCCUCCACCUCAACAGGGAUGGGGUUAGCAGGAGGACUGUGGCACAUGACUUAUCCCUGCUGCAGUCCCUCACUGUGGCUCUCUUUAUUGGCUGCCGGCUGCUGGGUCACAGGUCAACAUAUGGCUCGCUCUGUGUCAGUGUGGAUGGCUUGGAGAAGAGGUCCUGUACAAUGGAUGAGAGGACAGGGCAGUUUCUCUUGAAGGUAUGGGGAGGUGAUGGAGGGGAUGAUAGAAUACCUGAUGGAGACAUGGGGCCUGCAUUGACAUCUGUGAUUACCUUGUGAUCUUUGUUAGCAAGCUGAUAUAGAGCCAGAAGCAGAGGGUAAGCAGGUUAAAUAAGAGAGGAGGAGAAGGGUUAUUGAAAGGAAGUAGGUUUUAUAGUACAGAAUUAAGACUAUUUAUACUUAUGUACCUAUGAAGAUUUGGGAAUAAGAGGUGGUUAGUUUGGGAAAUGUUGUAGUUUGAUGUGGGGACAUUGAAAGUAUAAGUGUGUUUGUAUAGUAAAUGAAUAUUGUAGUGAAAAUUAAGACAAAUGACAUCUGUGUAUUUGGAAACAUUUUGGGAGUAAAAGGUGGAUGAUUUGGGAAAUGUGGUUUGAUGAGGAUAUUGAAAUUAUAAGUUUGUUUCUGUAAAUUUUGGUGUAAGAGGUGAAUGAUUAGAGAAAUGUAAUUUCAUGAGGAACAUUGAAAGUAACUUUAUGUAAUAAGUGGAGAUUGUGAAAAUUAAGACUAUUUAUGCUUGUGUAUCAAUGAAGAUUUGGGAGUAACAGGUGGAUAGUUUGAGAAAUGUUGCAGUAUCAUGAGUGAUAUUGAAAGUAAGUUUGUGUAGUAACUUGAUAUUGUAGUGGUAUUUAAGACCAACGAUGUUUGUAUACUUAUGAAAUUUAUGGAAUGCUGAGAGAUGGAUGAUGAAAGGAAAUUGAAAUUUUGAAACUCGUUCAUUUAUGUGUAGGAAAUGUGCAAAUUAUAUUGGAAGUUU
This 1581-nucleotide unclassified non-coding RNA is filed under the name Portunus trituberculatus (swimming crab). Its description in RNAcentral is "importin subunit alpha-3-like, transcript variant X6". The record is from RNAcentral. Lineage: Eukaryota; Metazoa; Arthropoda; Malacostraca; Decapoda; Portunidae.